Molecule: ribosomal RNA, 308 nt
Filed under: uncultured bacterium
Lineage: Bacteria
Description: partial 16S ribosomal RNA
Rfam family: Bacterial small subunit ribosomal RNA
Source: RNAcentral
GAGACAGCAGCAGCCGCGGGAAUACAGAGGGUGCGAGCGUUAAUCGGAUUUACUGGGCGUAAAGCGUGCGUAGGCGGCUUUUUAAGUCGGAUGUGAAAUCCCUGAGCUUAACUUAGGAAUUGCAUUCGAUACUGGGAAGCUAGAGUAUGGGAGAGGAUGGUAGAAUUCCAGGUGUAGCGGUGAAAUGCGUAGAGAUCUGGAGGAAUACCGAUGGCGAAGGCAGCCAUCUGGCCUAAUACUGACGCUGAGGUACGAAAGCAUGGGGAGCAAACAGGAUUAGAUACCCGCGUAGUCCCUGUCUCUUAUAC